Chenopodium quinoa (quinoa) is the source of this 2566-nucleotide long non-coding RNA. RefSeq lists it as uncharacterized. NCBI's taxonomy places the organism in Eukaryota, Viridiplantae, Streptophyta, Magnoliopsida, Caryophyllales, Amaranthaceae. The record is from RefSeq and is a predicted model, not a curated record. The transcript has 2 exons.
CAGGUUAGUUAUUGAAGCUGAUGAAGGUAAAGUCCCAAUCAAUGAAGAGUUCCCCGAUGAGCAGCUUCAUGCCUUGAACUCAAGAACUCCGUGGUAUGCUGAUUUGGUGAAUUUUUUAGUAUCAGGGAAGUUUCCAGCCAGCUACACCAAAGCACAGAAGGACCGGAUGCGUAGUAUAGCAAAAUACUACAUAUGGGAUGACCCAUACCUCUGGAAAUACUGUGCUGAUCAACUAAUCAGAAGGUGCGUACCCGAUUCUAAAAUUCUGUCUACACUAACUUUCUGCCAUUCUUAUGCAUGUGGGGGACAUUUUGGACCAAAGAGAACCGCACGCAAGGUUUUAGAGAGUGGAUUCUACUGGCCAUCCCAUAUUUAAAGAUGCAUAUGAAAUCUGUAAGGCAUGUGAUAGUUGUCAAAGAACAGGUACACUAGGUCCUAGGAAUGAAAUGCCCCAAACUCCUAUCUUAAUAUGUGAAAUCUUCGACGUUUGGGGUAUGGAUUUUAUGGGUCCCUUCCCCUUUUCUUUCGGUUUUCAAUAUAUUUUGCUUGCUGUCGAUUAUGUCUCGAAAUGGGUGGAAGCUAUAGCCACCCGUACUGAUGACUCUAAAGUUGUUGCAGAAUUUUUGAAAUCAAAUAUUUUUGCUAGAUACGGAUUCCGAGAGCCAUCAUCAAUGACAAGGGGACACACUUUUGCAAUAAGACAAUAGGAGCUCUCUUGAAGAAGUAUAAUGUGUUUCAUCGAGUGUCCACUGCAUAUCACCCACAAACAAAUGGACAGGCAGAAGUCUCCAAUCGAGAAAUCAAGUCCAUUCUAGAGAAGACUGUGAAUCCAAACAGGAAAGAUUGGAGUCUCCGCCUCAACGAUGCUCUGUGGGCGUACAGAACAGAGUAUAAAACUCCGAUCGGGAUGUCUCCUUACAGGCUUGUGUUUGGUAAACCUUGCCAUCUGCCAGUAGAAUUGGAACACAAAGCCUUUUGGGCCGUGAAACAAUGCAAUAUGGAAAUGGAUGCAGCGAGGGAGCACAGGAAACUUCAAUUGCAAGAACUUGAGGAAAUCCGAAAUGAUGCUUUCGAGAAUGCGAGAAUUUACAAGGAGAAGACCAAGGCAUUCCAUGAUGAGCGCAUAACACGAAAGACAUUUACAGUGGGGCAGAAAGUUCUCUUGUACCAUUCUCGGCUCAAACUUUUUUCCCGGUAAACUCCGUUCUCGAUGGGUGGGGCCCUUUAUUAUUACCAAGGUGUAUGACCAUGGUGCGGUUGAGAUUAGUAGUGAGGAGACGGGGAAGGAAUUUAAGGUGAAUGGUCAUCGACUCAAGCCGUACUAUGAGGGUCAUCAGGUCCAGAACAUUGAAGUGAUGGAGCUAGAAGCUCCAAAUUAUGAAGACUAGUAUGCUGUAAAGGCGUCGAGCUAAUGACGAUAAAUAAAGCGCUCUUGGGAGGACAUGCUUCAUAGCACACAAGCAUUUGCCGGCUGAUUAAAAGCCGACAUCGAUGUGGAUAUGUUGCAGCAACCUGGGAACAUGCAACAAGAAUAUUGAGGCUGGAAUUGGGGAUGGAAUUCAAAAGCUUUGCUUUUAAUUUCUGGUCCGGCAAAGCUGCAGCAUCGAAACAGUAAUGAGGCAGCAGAUCUGCAGUCAAGCAGUGGAGGCAACGCUUUAAGCUUGGGGGAAGAGUGGCGAACCAGAUAACUACCAGCAUGUUCCACUUUUUCCGGUGAGCUCGUUUCCUUAUCUGUUUCUAUUUUAAUCCCCUUAUUUUUUAUUUAUUUAUUUUUUUUACAGUCACACAUUGAGGGCAAUGUGUGGAUUAAUCUUGGGGGGAAUGCAUUAUGUUCGGUCUCUUGCGGUCUCUUGGUAUGUCUCUGGUGUGGUAUGGUAUUAUAUUGAGUCUAAUAAUGAAAUUUGGACAGUGCAUUCGGUCUCUACAAUGCUUAACUUUACAGUACAUUUACUCUACAAUGCUUAACUUUGGCUAAUAGACUUGUAUAUAUGCAGAAAAAAAAAAUUUGAAAAAUUAAUUCUGUAAACAAUGGCUAGCCUGGUGGAAGUCAGCUUGUAAUGGGGUAAAAAGAAAGAAAUGAGUUAGGCAUCAAAGCUUUACACUAUAUAAGCCAAAAAGCUUACCCAUGACAUGAUCCAUUAUUAAACCCGAUUUGAGCUUUAUAGACCUACUUUUCUUGCGGAAUGUCUGAAACAUGAAAUACUUGCCUAUAAGAUUAGUAGAGCAUAUCGAAGGGUAAAUUGGAUUAUCAUUGUGGUAAUGAUGUAAAUUGGUGGUGAAGUAUAUAUAUAUAUUUUUUUUAAAAAGAAAAAAGGUUUCAUGUUAAAGGCUCUACGUACCAAUGUAUGGGUUAAAAAAAAAAAAAACCAUAUAAGUACGUGUGAUGUUUUAUGUAUCGUGAUUGAGUAACUCGAGUUAGUAAAUCCGUAGGGGUAUCUUAAAACCUAGUGCCUUGGGCCAAUUGGACCGGGAGUCACUGGUUGAAAGCUCGCUACAUGGGUUACUUGACAUGUACAUGACAUUAAGAGUCGUGAAACACAAGUCAAAAAAAAAAAAAAAAAAAAAA